CGCACAGAAGACGCCAAUGAGACGUGGGAUAACUUGACGACUUUUGUAAGAUUACGUCCCAGCUGCCAUGGCCUGAAAAACAAACGAGGAAGAAGCCAUGCUCCAAAUACAAUGGUGGCUGUGGCCAGUACAACGCUUAACGAAACAAAGGUAGCAAGAACUGGACUGAAACGACGUGGUAGAAACAUGACAGUGUUGUUCAAGUGAUCUGCUAGAAACACAUUGCGAAUUUGUUAAGCGAUAUAGAGGCUCGAGUAUAUACCGAGAAAUACGGACGGAAUAUUGAGACUUAUGCCUUUAGGGAAUAUAGUAAAAGUACUAACACAUAAAAUUGUAGGCAAUUUAAACACAUUGGGCAUUUGUUAGGCGUUAGUACCGAGAAACACGGUUUCUGGAAACAUUAAGUAAUAUGUAGUCUUUAUAGUAAGAAUACUAACAUGACAAAAUGUACACAUUUUGUCUUGUUUAAAAUUGUGGGCAAUUUAAACACAUUGGGCCUUUGUUAAGCCGUACAGUGGCUUAAUGUAUAGCUUACCGAGAAACGCGAUUUCUGGAAAUAUUGGAUACAUGGCUUUAGGUAAUAUAGUAUAAUUAAUAACAUGGCAAAAUUUACACAUUUUUUUUGUAAAACGGUAAGCAGGUUUUUUUUUUAAAUAAACAGGGGUAAGUAUGGAACGCUUUAGCAAUUUAAGCGGCGUCAAACUGCGCGGAGUUCUGUUAUUCGCAUAUCAAGUAAUCCACGUACCCAACGGUUCAUUUGAGGCGGUUCUAUUCUUAUUUUGGGUUAGGUCACAGUGGUAUGCGCUUAUAAAACGUGGAAAUUGCGUUACGGUGUUUAGCUCUGCACAACAUACCUUGUACGCAAUAUACGUUUACACGUGGAAGGUGGCUUGUUAAAGUAUUAUAAUAUGAACUUAUGGUACUGGUAUGACAUUUCUGGUAGGAGAAAUAAAAUCAGUAUUUGAUUAACUU
Long non-coding RNA from Ciona intestinalis (vase tunicate), 972 nucleotides. RefSeq lists it as uncharacterized. The record is from RefSeq and is a predicted model, not a curated record. NCBI's taxonomy places the organism in Eukaryota, Metazoa, Chordata, Ascidiacea, Phlebobranchia, Cionidae.